This 373-nucleotide long non-coding RNA is filed under the name Brassica napus (rape). Its description in RNAcentral is "long non-coding RNA (BNAP_LNC012956)". The record is from RNAcentral. Lineage: Eukaryota; Viridiplantae; Streptophyta; Magnoliopsida; Brassicales; Brassicaceae.
UUCAACAAUAGUCCAAACGUUUCCCCAUGCCAUGUAUGCGAUCAACUUGGAUCUCAGGUUAGUAAUAUCCAAAUUGUCUUUCUAAUUAUUCCUCCCGAGUGGUCUCAUGAUCCUGCACGGUCUCUGGCUUUGCUUUUUGUGUGAAUAAUGUUGUGGUUUGAUUGAUCAUUUUGAUAUUACAAUGGAUACAUGCAAGGAUUUUGUUAGUGAAGCUGAAUCCUUCAGUAAAUUACAACAACACCAGCUAGAUGCCUAGAUGGACACAGGUUCUUAUAUAAUCUUCAACGACAAUGCUCGUCUUGAACUUUUUCUACCAACAUCUCCAGAAACUGACCGUACAAUCUAGAGGAAGCCCACAACAAAAGUCUCGCCG